UGCAGUCGAGCGAAUGGAUUAAGAGCUUGCUCUUAUGAAGUUAGCGGCGGACGGGUGAGUAACACGUGGGUAACCUGCCCAUAAGACUGGGAUAACUCCGGGAAACCGGGGCUAAUACCGGAUAACAUUUUGAACCGCAUGGUUCGAAAUUGAAAGGCGGCUUCGGCUGUCACUUAUGGAUGGACCCGCGUCGCAUUAGCUAGUUGGUGAGGUAACGGCUCACCAAGGCAACGAUGCGUAGCCGACCUGAGAGGGUGAUCGGCCACACUGGGACUGAGACACGGCCCAGACUCCUACGGGAGGCAGCAGUAGGGAAUCUUCCGCAAUGGACGAAAGUCUGACGGAGCAACGCCGCGUGAGUGAUGAAGGCUUUCGGGUCGUAAAACUCUGUUGUUAGGGAAGAACAAGUGCUAGUUGAAUAAGCUGGCACCUUGACGGUACCUAACCAGAAAGCCACGGCUAACUACGUGCCAGCAGCCGCGGUAAUACGUAGGUGGCAAGCGUUAUCCGGAAUUAUUGGGCGUAAAGCGCGCGCAGGUGGUUUCUUAAGUCUGAUGUGAAAGCCCACGGCUCAACCGUGGAGGGUCAUUGGAAACUGGGAGACUUGAGUGCAGAAGAGGAAAGUGGAAUUCCAUGUGUAGCGGUGAAAUGCGUAGAGAUAUGGAGGAACACCAGUGGCGAAGGCGACUUUCUGGUCUGUAACUGACACUGAGGCGCGAAAGCGUGGGGAGCAAACAGGAUUAGAUACCCUGGUAGUCCACGCCGUAACGAUGAGUGCUAAGUGUUAGAGGGUUUCCGCCCUUUAGUGCUGAAGUUAACGCAUUAAGCACUCCGCCUGGGGAGUACGGCCGCAAGGCUGAAMUCAAAGGAAAUUGACGGGGGCCCGCACAAGCGGUGAACCUUGUGGUUAAUUUGGAAGCAACGGAAGGACCUUUCCCAGGUCUGGCCUUCUUUUGACACCCCAAAAAUUAGGGUUUUUCUUUGGGAAGCGGAGGGCCGGUGGGGCCAGGUUGGUGUUCAGUUGGGUUCUGGGGAUGUGGGGUUAAUUCCGCCACGAAGCCCACCCCUUGUUUUUGGUGCCCUCCAUUAAGUGGGGCAUUUUAAGGGGACGCCGGGGGCCAACCGGGGGGAAGGGGGGGAGGAGUUCAAUUCUUCUUCCCCUUUUGGCCUUGGGUUCCCCCCUUGUUCCAAGGGCGGUUCCAAAGAGUGCCAGGCCCGGGAGGGGGAGUUAUUUUCUUAAACCCUUUUUCAUUUGGGAUGUUGGGUUCCAAUUGCCUUCCAGGAAGCGGGAUUCGUUGUUAUUCGGGGUUCACCAGGCCGCGGGGAUUACUUUCCCGGCCUUGGUCCCCCCCCCCCUCCCCCCCAGGGGAGUUGUUACCCCCGGAGUUCGGGGGGGUUAACCUUUGGAGCCAGCCGC
This 1417-nucleotide ribosomal RNA is filed under the name Bacillus thuringiensis gv. cytolyticus. Its description in RNAcentral is "bacterial SSU rRNA". Lineage: Bacteria; Bacillati; Bacillota; Bacilli; Caryophanales; Bacillaceae. The record is from RNAcentral.